This 76-nucleotide transfer RNA is filed under the name Pararhodospirillum photometricum DSM 122. Its description in RNAcentral is "tRNA-Glu". The record is from RNAcentral. Lineage: Bacteria; Pseudomonadati; Pseudomonadota; Alphaproteobacteria; Rhodospirillales; Rhodospirillaceae.
GUCGCGGGUGACGACGGUGUCACCCACAGCCAGGGUCAGGUCGGCCUGGACGGUGAGAUAGAGGGGCUUGUCGGGC